Long non-coding RNA from Prionailurus viverrinus (fishing cat), 800 nucleotides. RefSeq lists it as uncharacterized. The transcript is spliced from 3 exons. Lineage: Eukaryota; Metazoa; Chordata; Mammalia; Carnivora; Felidae. The record is from RefSeq and is a predicted model, not a curated record.
GAGACGCGUCCAAGCUCAGGCCGGGCCCGAAGCGCCUGCUCAGGGGCUCCCUCCCCAGGACCCGGACCCCUCGCCGACUUCCCCCUGUCGGUUUCCGGCUCCCCCUCUGGUGCCAGCGAUUUCCUUUAAUUUUUGAAAUGACACUCCCUUGCAAGGGAUUCCACUCCCCCCACCCCCCACCCCCAUUGAUUUUAAGAGCUCUGCAGGAUUACUGGACGAAAAAGUGUAAAAGGAAAAUAAACAUUAAUCCGCGGUGGAUUCGCUCAAGAUAAAGUCGAUAUUGGGGGUGCUGCGGCGGAUGCGGCUUAUGCGGGAGUCUCUCUUGGGGUGUUUCCUGUUUGCGAUUUAAUGUUCUGAAGAAGAAAAAGCCUUCAAUCGUGAUCAUGAGUUUUACAGAUUGUCUUUACAUCGGACCAUGUCAGUUUUGAAUGGAAAUACCGUAAGACUUAAUUCCAAUGCUCAGUGGCCGAAAGAACACAAUUGCUGUUUCACGACUUGUCCCAGAGCCGGCCAGAGAGAUGAACACAGGCCAGACCCAGGAAGAUCACUCACUCUGGGAGAACCCAGCUGUUGACAACAAGGACAUCAAAGUUGCUGUUAUGCAGAGGGUCACCUGGUAAGAAACUGAGUCUUCCUACGAACAGCCAGCAAGGACAUGGGGCCUUCUGCCAACAGCCUUAUGAGCGGACUAUCAGGGAAGCAGCAUCCCAGCCCCUGCCCAGCCUUCGGAUGAAUGCAACCUCAGCUGAUGUAUCUUAACUGCAACUGCCGGGGAGAUGGAAUUCAAAAUAAAAUCUCCC